Non-coding RNA from Vicugna pacos (alpaca), 150 nucleotides. The record is from RefSeq and is a predicted model, not a curated record. NCBI's taxonomy places the organism in Eukaryota, Metazoa, Chordata, Mammalia, Artiodactyla, Camelidae.
AACAGAAGAAUGGCUGGCCGGCUGUUCUGUCUGGGCUUUUGAGAGUGCCCAGUGGACCCCAUGCCCCCAUCCUGGCCAGGACUGAGGGAGGCCUCUACCUGGGUCCUCAGGCACCAUUCAGGACCCUGGAUCUCAACGAGCAGACUCAAA